ACUAUAAGUCCUCCCAAAACAAAGCCACCAACAAAGAUACCAGCACUGCUUGGCCUUCCAGUGUCACUAUUUGCUGCUUUAACUGUGAAUGCCCUUCUGGAGGUAGUAAGUUGCAGUUUUCCUGAACAAUUCAAACUGAAUGACAAAUUGGUGAGCAUGGAACUCUGGAGACAUUUAUCCAAUGGGCCAGGAGAUAACUGAACCCCAGGAUUUGUCGUUAGAACCAAAGAAUUUGAGAGAGCUGUCAUUGUUAUCGUCGAAAGAGAGUAGAGAGUGAGUGCAGUGGAAAAGUUAAGAGGGUUAGGGUUGGUCGAACUAACUAUAAAUUAAACUAGGCGACGGUGAGGGAUCGAUAAUUUCUAAGCUUCAGCCUCAGCUUCCUCUUCAGUCAGAUGAAUGGAUGAAUGAUACACUAUGUAUUCAUCG
This 426-nucleotide unclassified non-coding RNA is filed under the name Hevea brasiliensis (rubber tree). The record is from RNAcentral. Lineage: Eukaryota; Viridiplantae; Streptophyta; Magnoliopsida; Malpighiales; Euphorbiaceae.